This 74-nucleotide transfer RNA is filed under the name Acidobacteria bacterium RIFCSPLOWO2_12_FULL_54_10. RNAcentral describes it as "tRNA-Ser". It matches the Rfam family "tRNA". Rfam says of the family: Transfer RNA (tRNA) molecules are approximately 80 nucleotides in length. Their secondary structure includes four short double-helical elements and three loops (D, anti-codon, and T loops). The record is from RNAcentral. Lineage: Bacteria; Pseudomonadati; Acidobacteriota.
GGCCCCGUAGCUCAGAAGGAAAGAGCGCCUUGCCGCUAACGAGGAGUACGCUGGUUCGAGUCCAGCCGGGGCCA